Molecule: small nuclear RNA, 104 nt
Organism: Saimiri boliviensis boliviensis (Bolivian squirrel monkey)
Lineage: Eukaryota; Metazoa; Chordata; Mammalia; Primates; Cebidae
Source: RefSeq, a predicted model, not a curated record
GUGCUCACUUCGGCAGCACAUACACUACAAGUAGAAAGAUACAGAGAUUAGCAUGGCCCCUGUGCAAGGUUGACAUGCAAAUUCAUGAAGCAUUUCCAUAAUUA